AAACAUCAAACUCCUGGAACUGAUACAGAGAAGUGUAUUUAAGUGAAACAGGUGAACAGCUCCCCCUACUGGGAGAGAAAAAAGGCUUUUUGUACAGUGUGUAUGAGUUUUGUGUCACUGUGGGCUCCAUGGCGCAGUAGUACAGUGCAGAGUCUGAUACUGCAGCAGGAAAGAUCUCCAGAUCUACUUUCUUUUCUUUUUUACGAAGUCUGAUGGAUAUUCUUGGGUCAAGUUGUUCAGCUCUAGUGACAUCAUCUGAGGAUUUAAAAAUCAGGAGCAAAAACUUUGGAUCUGAUUGAGGUUUUUGUUGAUACCAGUGGAGAUAAACAGCUGAGUCAUCAUAUGUGCAGAGUGACGUCGUGAUACAGUGACGUCUUUCGAUAUGAUACAGAUGCUAUUCGGGAGAGAGAAUCAAAAGAAGCUGAAAUGCUGAAGCUGAAACAGUUUUUGCUACAAAAUGACGGAUGUUUCCACAAGAUGUCGCUGUGUCACUUCAGGGCUCUGAACGUUACUGCAGUCGCUCCA
Silurus meridionalis is the source of this 525-nucleotide long non-coding RNA. RefSeq lists it as uncharacterized. The record is from RefSeq and is a predicted model, not a curated record. The transcript is spliced from 3 exons. NCBI's taxonomy places the organism in Eukaryota, Metazoa, Chordata, Actinopteri, Siluriformes, Siluridae.